UUGAAAAAUAAUUAUUUGACAUUGUAUGUAUAGGUCGUAGAUACGUACAAUGAAUCUCUCUCGUCAAUCUCGCUGACUGAUCUCUCUCACUGAACCUCUCUCUCGCCGAUAUCUCUCACCAAUCUCUCGCCGGACCUCUCCUCCUGUUAAUCGUUGUGGUGCGGUUGCUUUCUCAUCAUUCAAUUGUAAUUGCAAAUACAGGAUGGCGUCUUCCUCUAAUCAAGCUCAGUGUUUGUCCAAACAAGUUCAGCUCUGUGGUUCUUUCAGUCGUUGUCAGGUUGGUGCUGCAUUUUCAAUAGUUUAUAUAUCCGGGUCACCUGUCAUGUUUGUUGGAUGGGGCUGUUGUUGUUGAUGGCUAUAGUUUUCCUAUUCGUGUUGGUAAAAAUGGUAAAAAUGUCAUUUUUGUGGGUUUUUGGUUGUUUAUGGUUGGGGAUUUUAUUUAAGUAUUUGUGAAUCAAGGAGGGUGUUUUGUAUUUUGUUUUUUAGAAAUUGAUAGUUGCUAAGAAUUCGUUGAAGUUUAGCUUAGAGAAAUCUAAAAAUUUAGGUGAUUUUAUUGGGAAAUCUGGGCCGAGGUUAGAUGAGAUCAAUCAAAGGUUGCCUUAUUUGGAAGUUGUAGUUCCACCAAUCCGUGCUCUUCAUAAAUUUUUUUGUUGUUUGUAUUAAAUGUUAAUUUCCUUGCAUCUUCUUUAGAAUAUAGACAGUGAAACCUUUUCCUUGGUGAAACCUUUUCCUUAGUAAUGAUGUUGAUGGCCUUUACUAGCAGCAGCUGCACACCUCUCCGUGAAAGGCCUGUAUGAUUACUCAUGAAUAUAUUGAGGCUAUGAAAAAAGAAGCAUUCUAAGCACUCCGAACAAUUACCAGCUCAAAAUUGGUCUGCUCCCAGAGAUCUGAUGAUGCCGUAGCUGCUAUGAAGCUUUUAGAAGCUUCAAGUUCCAGAGAAGCUCCCACACAGACCUAUGUGCUUAAGCUGGUGGAACUUGUUGGCCAAGCCACGCCACUCAUAAUCAAUCACGGAAUGGGUCAAAAGAUUUCCUCUGGACACACUCUUUCGUGACAUAUAAUUCAUCUAUGGAUAAAUUUUGAACAACAGUAUUUUGGAUUGGUUUCCGUCCAGGCCUUCACUUCAAUGUCACUUCCAAGAUUCAUGCAUUUCGACGUUUGUUCUGUCACCUUUGACAAUUCAGCAUCGCUAAUCAUACUUCCCUUUCAUCAUAAAUGGAACCAUCAUGGUAAGAUUAUACUGGAAAACAAUCUGCAGAGGACCGUGAAUCGGGAAGUACUGGGAACAGCUCCCUAUUCUGCAGGGAUUCUAGUUGAUGGUCGUAAAAUACGCACUGAAACUUCUGCUGACCAACACAGACAAUCAAGAUAUCAUGUUGCAGUCAUAUUUUUGGGAGAAAAUGACGACCAGGAGGCUUUAGCGUAUGCCAUACGUAUGGCAAAGUCGAUGAGAAUUCAGUUGAGUGUCAUUAGGCUUUUUCCCUCUGAAGUGAGUGAAGAGAACAUGGACGCUGUUCUUGACAGAGAAAUCUUAAGGGAGACAAAGAUACUGAGCUGGAAACAGAGCAAUAUAGUUUAUGAGAAGAGACUACUAGUGAUGGCGGAGAGACUGCUCUGAUAGUGAAUUCAAUGGUGGAUUCCUUUGAUUUGAUACUGGUUGGGAGACACUUAGACACCACAGAGAGCAUUCACCGCUCUUAGUAGGUCUGUCGCAAUGGAAUGAUAUACCAGAGCUGGGGGCAGUAGGUGACAUUUUGGCAUCUGCAGAAAUUAACAGACCAGCUUCAGUCUUGGUGCAGCAACAGAUUGUUAGGUAAAUUUAUUGCAAGUGAUAUAUCAUGACAAAGAGAUGUUUGAAUGCAAAGAGAUAGUUUUUUUCAAUUAAAUUUGUUGUUGUCAGACCAUCAUUUAUCUUAGUAGUCUGAUUUGCUUGUAUCACUUGUCUAUUUGAUGGUAAAUUGCAAUUGAAAUAAGAAGUUUUUUCGUUAGACUUAAUUUGGAAAGACUUGGCGGUAAUUAAUGUCUAGCCGUCUGAUUGCCUGGAGGUAUCUGUAGUGAGGUGUGUGUAAAUUGUGUUUAGAGCCAUAUUGUAAAUAUAUUCUUAUAGAUGUUGUAUCUAUUGAUGCGAGCACUUGUCAGCUAUCAACAUGCUUGAUGCAGACUACAUUAUCAGGUUUUGUUAUAUUACGCUGCUUUUAGGCUA
This is a long non-coding RNA of Daucus carota subsp. sativus, 2203 nucleotides long. RefSeq lists it as uncharacterized. The transcript is spliced from 2 exons. NCBI's taxonomy places the organism in Eukaryota, Viridiplantae, Streptophyta, Magnoliopsida, Apiales, Apiaceae. The record is from RefSeq and is a predicted model, not a curated record.